This is a long non-coding RNA of Castor canadensis (American beaver), 1011 nucleotides long. NCBI's taxonomy places the organism in Eukaryota, Metazoa, Chordata, Mammalia, Rodentia, Castoridae. The record is from Ensembl.
GAUUUUGAGUGUUCUCUGGGCUUCAGGGAGGAUAGCUGCCCAGUGAGGGGUCACCGCCAAGGUGCAUCCACCUUGCCCUGCUUUGGUCCUUGGCCUCCUGAGGCUUGGCCCAAGAUGGAACCCUGCUUUUCACUCCCUUGCACUCUUUUUUUUUUUACAGUACUGGGGUUUGAAUUCAGGGCCUAAACCUUGAGCCACUCCACCAGCCCUUUUUUGUGAAGGAGUUUUUUGAAAUAGGACCUCAAGAACUAUUUGCCCUGGCUGGCUAUGAACUAUGAUCUUUUUGAUCUCUGCCUCCUGAGUAGCUAGGACUACAGGCAUGAGCCACUGGUGGCUCCCUUGCACUCUUGAAUUGAGCCCCACAGCUCAUAGAUCUGUGGGAUGAGCAGCUGAAAGACUGUGCUGAUGUUAUUGUUGAUCUUGACUGAGGUUUCAACAUAGUGAGCCUGCAAAGGGGCAACCUCCUACUCCCCCUCCCCUGGCGUCACCUGAUGCUUAGCCCACCAGGUCUCUCUUGUGACCUACCUCCAGGGUGAGGAUGCUGAAGAGUUUUAGCUUUCUCCAGAACUUCCUGCUGCCAUGGGCAAUGCUGUCAAAGGAUGUUCUGUUGGUGACAUCAAAGCAAGAGGCUCCAGCUGAGUUCUGAUAGCAUGAGCAGGUUACUGACUCGGCAGCCAAGAAAGAAUCCAGAAUUACUUUUGAGUCCUGCAUUGAGGACAGAAGGGAACGGGGAACUGGGGAAAUGUGAAUGAAAGAGCUGAGUAGUCAGAAGACUUCAGAUCAGCCGUGUGACAGAAGAUGGAAUCAUGAUGCUGCCAGUUUCCAGCAGUCUCCAAGAGAAAGGGAAUGGAAAGGCUGGAGUCCUGGUGGAGGGGCUGUAACCAUCUAAAGGAGCAACAGCAACAUCUCCGUAACUUCUGGGGGGAUUUGUCCUGAAAGGUAUUUGAAAUAGCUCACUGAGAAAUAUUUGAAGAAGGGGUUGCAGAGUGGCUCACACAGCAAGAUCACUGC